Molecule: ribosomal RNA, 797 nt
Filed under: uncultured bacterium
Lineage: Bacteria
Description: bacterial SSU rRNA
Rfam family: Bacterial small subunit ribosomal RNA
Source: RNAcentral
GAGUUUGAUCCUGGCUCAGGAUGAACGCUAGCGGCAGGCUUAACACAUGCAAGUCGAGGGGUAACAUUGGAGCUUGCUUCAGAUGACGACCGGCGCACGGGUGCGUAACGCGUAUACAAUCUGCCUCAUACUGAGGGAUAGCCUUUGGAAACGAAGAUUAAUACCUCAUAGUAUCAUUGAUUGGCAUCGAUUAAUGAUUAAAGGUUACGGUAUGAGAUGAGUAUGCGUCCUAUUAGCUAGUUGGUGUGGUAACGGCAUACCAAGGCGACGAUAGGUAGGGGUCCUGAGAGGGAGAUCCCCCACACUGGUACUGAGACACGGACCAGACUCCUACGGGAGGCAGCAGUGAGGAAUAUUGGACAAUGGAGGCAACUCUGAUCCAGCCAUGCCGCGUGAAGGAUGACUGCCCUAUGGGUUGUAAACUUCUUUUAUAUAGGAAGAAACACUGCUACGUGUAGCAGCUUGACGGUACUAUAUGAAUAAGCACCGGCUAACUCCGUGCCAGCAGCCGCGGUAAUACGGAGGGUGCAAGCGUUAUCCGGAAUCAUUGGGUUUAAAGGGUCCGUAGGCGGGCUAAUAAGUCAGAGGUGAAAUCCUGCAGCUCAACUGUAGAACUGCCUUUGAUACUGUUGGUCUUGAGUUAUUGUGAAGUGGUUAGAAUAUGUAGUGUAGCGGUGAAAUGCAUAGAUAUUACAUAGAAUACCGAUUGCGAAGGCAGAUCACUAACAAUAUACUGACGCUGAUGGACGAAAGCGUGGGUAGCGAACGGGAUUAGAUACCCCGGUAGUCCACGCCGU